GCACUCUGGCGCUUAAUUGCUCCAAUUUAGUCUUGACCUCUAACGACGUAAUCAGAAAUUUCAAUUUGGACGCUUUGACAAACCGGACGUAUUCCAUAACAGAAGAAAACGGAUUUCCUAGGGUAUACAAUUUCUCUGUUUGUAGGAAUCUCGAUCAGCCAUGUGGAGACGACAAAGCUGAAAAUGUCUGUUCAAAAAUAAUUCUGCCUCUGUAUGCGAGUAUGUGUCUAAGAAUGCCAAUAAUGAAACAGAUGGAACAUACCUUUGCUUUAAAGACAGUGGUAAAAUGCCAGUAUACACGACCUUCAGUCUUCCUGGCGAGAAGAAACCACGUGAGGGGAUUUUGUUCAAGAACUUUUUUGCUGGGAAAGGAGGUGAGCAAGAAACCAUCCCUUUCGUAGACAUUUACAUAGUAUGUAACGAGAGCAUUGGUCUCGAUAAAGAACCAGUUAUCGAAGGCCCGAUCCAUAUUAAUGAAAAUGCUACUCAUAAAGACCCAGUUAGCGUCGCUAUUAUCUUAUCUCAAAAAGCUGGAUGUCCAACAAGAGUUCAUAAAAUCUACAAGGGAAAUACGUUAAGUACCGGAUCGAAAAUGCUCAUUGUAUUUUUUACGGUAGUUGCGGCUUAUCUGUUCCUUGGUAUCGUGUUGAAUUACUUCAGCGGAGCAUCUGGGUUAAACCUCAUUCCAA
Molecule: long non-coding RNA, 689 nt
Organism: Schistocerca gregaria
Lineage: Eukaryota; Metazoa; Arthropoda; Insecta; Orthoptera; Acrididae
Exons: 4
Source: RefSeq, a predicted model, not a curated record